CAACGCAGAACCUUACCUGGGUUUGACAUAUACCGGAAAGCUGCAGAGAUGUGGCCCCCCUUGUGGUCGGUAUACAGGUGGUGCAUGGCUGUCGUCAGCUCGUGUCGUGAGAUGUUGGGUUAAGUCCCGCCAACGAGCGCAACCCCUAUCUUAUGUUGCCAGCACGUUAUGGUGGGGACUCGUAAGAGACUGCCGGGGUCAACUCGGAGGAAGGUGGGGACGACGUCAAGUCAUCAUGCCCCUUAUGUCCAGGGCUUCACACAUGCUACAAUGGCCAGUACAGAGGGCUGCGAGACCGUGAGGUGGAGCGAAUCCCUUAAAGCUGGUCUCAGUUCGGAUCGGGGUCUGCAACUCGACCCCGUGAAGUCGGAGUCGCUAGUAAUCGCAGAUCGGCAACGCUGCGGUGAAUACGUUCCCGGGCCUU
RNAcentral lists this ribosomal RNA (424 nucleotides) under uncultured Rhodococcus sp. Its description in RNAcentral is "bacterial SSU rRNA". It matches the Rfam family "Bacterial small subunit ribosomal RNA", at positions 959 to 1382 of the family's 1533-position model. The record is from RNAcentral. Lineage: Bacteria; Bacillati; Actinomycetota; Actinomycetes; Mycobacteriales; Nocardiaceae.